Molecule: ribosomal RNA, 253 nt
Filed under: uncultured bacterium
Lineage: Bacteria
Description: partial 16S ribosomal RNA
Rfam family: Bacterial small subunit ribosomal RNA
Source: RNAcentral
UACAUAGGGUGCGAGCGUUAAUCGGAAUUACUGGGCGUAAAGCGUGCGUAGACGGUUAUUUAAGUCGGAUGUGAAAGCCCCGGGCUCAACCUGGGAAUUGCAUUCGAGACUGAAUAGCUAGGGUGCGGUAGAGGGAAGCGGAAUUUCCGGUGUAGCGGUGAAAUGCGUAGAUAUCGGAAGGAACAUCAGUGGCGAAAGCGGCUUCCUGGACCAGCACCGACGUUCAGGCACGAAAGCGUGGGGAGCAAACAGG